GACGAACGCUGGCGGCGUGCUUAACACAUGCAAGUCGAACGAUGAAGCUAGAGCUUGCUCUGGUGAAUUAGUGGCGAACGGGUGAGUAACACGUGAGUAACCUGCCCCGAACUCUGGGAUAACUGCUGGAAACGGUAGCUAAUACUGGAUACGACCUACGAAGGCAUCUUCUGUAGGUGGAAAGAAUUUCGGUUCGGGAUGGACUCGCGGCCUAUCAGCUUGUUGGUGAGGUAAUGGCUCACCAAGGCGACGACGGGUAGCCGGCCUGAGAGGGUGACCGGCCACACUGGGACUGAGACGCGGCCCAGACUCCUACGGGAGGCAGCAGUGGGGAAUAUUGCACAAUGGGCGCUAGCCUGAUGCAGCAACGCCGCGUGAGGGAUGACGGCCUUCGGGUUGUAAACCUCUUUUAGUAGGGAAGAAGCGAAAGUGACGGUACCUGCAGAAAAAGCACCGGCUAACUACGUGCCAGCCGCCGCAGUAA
RNAcentral lists this ribosomal RNA (484 nucleotides) under uncultured bacterium. Its description in RNAcentral is "partial 16S ribosomal RNA". It matches the Rfam family "Bacterial small subunit ribosomal RNA", at positions 28 to 523 of the family's 1533-position model. The record is from RNAcentral.